Molecule: non-coding RNA, 1010 nt
Organism: Paramuricea clavata
Lineage: Eukaryota; Metazoa; Cnidaria; Anthozoa; Malacalcyonacea; Plexauridae
Source: the annotation of a GenBank genome assembly
CGGUAUUGUGUGUAAAAAACUAUAAUGAUCCACUUACAAGCUAAAACUACAUGUGUCCCAACAACUUCUGAAAGUGAUUGUCUGGGCCCCAUAUGCCAUAACAUCAUUGUACAUCUCCAAAGUACAGGGAAUAGAAUGCUCUGCGAACGAAGUAUUUCAGCUCCAUUUCGUUCACAGAACAUCUAAUGACAUUACAGAACAAUUAAGUUUCAUUAAAAUUCUCAAAGUUAAUAAUUAACAGAAUAUGAAUAUAUUUUGUUAUGUCAUAUUGCAUUCUAAAUCACAAAGGUUUUAUACGUUGUUUGUUUCUACAAAUUUUGGCAAAGCACUAGUAGGUUAUUUGAGAGGUUAUAGUCCGUCAAUAAAGAUAGGUAUCGCAAAUGUUUUACGCUAGAUAUGUCACACAUACUGUUAAUUUAUAGCAUAGUAAUAUAACAUCCGGUUACUUUCGCUUGCGGGUAAGGGCUGAGUCAACUGCUAAUUCGGGUACUUCGAAGGAAAAGAACGUUUGAUUUUUACCACCAACAGUGAAUGUGACAUUUCACAUCUUUCUAGAGCAGAAUUUGCAGCUAUAAUUGUCGACGCAUGGGUACGAAGGAGCACUCAGUGGGUGGGAAUUUCGGAGGCUAAUGGAAAGGGCGGUAUCAUAUAGUAUAUAUGGUCACUUCCACAUGGCUAAAAAAUUGUCCGCAAGAUCAAGUUGGCGAGCUAUCGCAAAGCUCGAGAAGAGUAAAUUCGGCAUUUAAUUGAACUCAGUCAGACAAUCCCAAAAAUUACCAUUCAGUGUAUUCGUACGUGGUAAAGAAUGACCCGGACUUCGUGAUUUCUCCAGGGCUUAUAGACCCCCCUAAUGCUGACGCGUUAGCAAGUACUAGCGCGCGCGACACGUCGAAGCAAUAAAGUUGCACAGGCUUGCAAAAAAUAUGUGACGAAAGGGACUCGCUGUAUACGGCGUUGUACGCAUUAUACGACACAAAGUUAGUGUUAUACGCUAAUUAUGCUAAUAAGCG